RNAcentral lists this small RNA (91 nucleotides) under Marmota monax (woodchuck). The record is from RNAcentral. Lineage: Eukaryota; Metazoa; Chordata; Mammalia; Rodentia; Sciuridae.
GCCAGGCAUGGUGGCGCAUGCCCGAAAUUCCAGCUACUCGAGAGGCUGAGGCAGGAGGAUUGCUGGUCACUGUAGUGAGACCCUGUUUCAA